Molecule: long non-coding RNA, 494 nt
Filed under: Ananas comosus (pineapple)
Lineage: Eukaryota; Viridiplantae; Streptophyta; Magnoliopsida; Poales; Bromeliaceae
Description: long non-coding RNA (ACOM_LNC009811)
Source: RNAcentral
UUUGCUAGAUCCAAAAAUCUCUCAGAGAUUUGUUGGUGGGAUGGCAUGAAUUUUAUAGAGAGAGAAAGAGAGAAAUAGAGAGAGAGGAAGAGAGAAAUAGAGAAAGAAAGAGAGAUUCAAAGAUCUUUCAGAGAUUUGUUAGUGGGAUGGCAUAAAUUUUGUAGAGAGAGAUAGAGAGAAAUAGAGAGAGAGGAAUAAAGGGGGAGAAAGAGAGAAAGAAAGCGAGAGUAAGAGAGAGAGAGGGGGAUCGGUUCAGGAGAGAGGGGGCGGUAGGUUUGGGGAGAGAGAGAGGGUCGAUCUCUUUGGUAGAGAGAGAGAGAGAGUCCCAAACCGAGAAGAGAGAGCGGUCAGUUUUUGGGAGAGAGAGAGGGGUGGGAUCAGCCUCCAACCGCCACGUGGAAUAGGGCCAUCUUCUAAUCGCCACGUGUAUUGACUGUUCUGUCAAUUUAAAUAGUUAAAGAUUAAAAGUAAAAAUGUAUAAAAGUUGCCUCCAC